RNAcentral lists this transfer RNA (66 nucleotides) under Helianthus annuus (common sunflower). RNAcentral describes it as "tRNA-Lys". It matches the Rfam family "tRNA", at positions 1 to 63 of the family's 71-position model. Rfam says of the family: Transfer RNA (tRNA) molecules are approximately 80 nucleotides in length. Their secondary structure includes four short double-helical elements and three loops (D, anti-codon, and T loops). Lineage: Eukaryota; Viridiplantae; Streptophyta; Magnoliopsida; Asterales; Asteraceae. The record is from RNAcentral.
AGCCGUUCUAGCUCAGUUGGUAGAGCGCGUGGCUUUUAACCACGUGGUCGUGGGUUCGAGUCCCAC